AUCCAGCUAAUGAGUCUCAAAUAGGAUGAAAUGCGCGUCCUGAAU
Molecule: non-coding RNA, 45 nt
Filed under: Schistosoma curassoni
Lineage: Eukaryota; Metazoa; Platyhelminthes; Trematoda; Strigeidida; Schistosomatidae
Source: RNAcentral